CAACUACUCCCUCUGUCCCAAAUUUCUUGUCUUAGAUUUGUCUAGAUACGGAUGUAUCUAAUACUAAAAUGUGACUUGAUACAUCCAUAUCUAGAAACCAUAUCUAGAAAAAUCUAAGACAAGAAUUUUCGGACGGAGGGAGUACUUU
This is a non-coding RNA of Triticum urartu, 148 nucleotides long. Lineage: Eukaryota; Viridiplantae; Streptophyta; Magnoliopsida; Poales; Poaceae. The record is from Rfam.